This 58-nucleotide transfer RNA is filed under the name Cricetulus griseus (Chinese hamster). It matches the Rfam family "tRNA", at positions 8 to 63 of the family's 71-position model. From Rfam's summary of the family: Transfer RNA (tRNA) molecules are approximately 80 nucleotides in length. Their secondary structure includes four short double-helical elements and three loops (D, anti-codon, and T loops). The record is from Rfam by way of RNAcentral. Lineage: Eukaryota; Metazoa; Chordata; Mammalia; Rodentia; Cricetidae. RNAcentral also lists the same sequence under 2 other names.
UGGCUCAGUGGUUAAGAGCACUGGCUACUCUUCCAGAGGACCUGGGUUCAAUUCCCAG